GCAAGUGAAAAAGACCAGCUCAGCCUACCAGUCAUCGCCAGAUUGUUGAUUUACCCAGUGAGAGCCUGCCCUCCUGCCUGCUUGCCUGCCUGUCUGCCGGUCACAUCCUCCUCUGUCCAUUCAUCCGUGGAUUCCUUGGAUAAACCACUUUGAUCAUUUCCA
Molecule: long non-coding RNA, 162 nt
Organism: Melanotaenia boesemani (Boeseman's rainbowfish)
Lineage: Eukaryota; Metazoa; Chordata; Actinopteri; Atheriniformes; Melanotaeniidae
Exons: 2
Source: RefSeq, a predicted model, not a curated record